RNAcentral lists this long non-coding RNA (1688 nucleotides) under Heterocephalus glaber (naked mole-rat). RNAcentral describes it as "lncRNA (ENSHGLG00100040754.1)". The record is from RNAcentral. Lineage: Eukaryota; Metazoa; Chordata; Mammalia; Rodentia; Bathyergidae.
CAGCCUCCCUGGGCUCCCUGCACCCAACUCAGGCCCCGUGGCCUGACUGCCGUGACUGCCACCCCAGAGCCUCCAUGUAGCCCCCAGGCCUUGUCCACGAUGUCACCGAAGGACGCUGGGGACCCGCAGAUCCGGCCGUGCCCAAGGGUAUCCUUCGGGUGCCACGCAGACAGUCACUGGUCGCCUUGGUAACACAGAGCCCCUGGCAGACGAGGACGGGUGCAGGACAGCAUCCCCACCAGAGAUCCUGUGCCCGCCCUACACGGAGGCCUUCAAAGCCCUGCCCACGCUAUGACCCCUGCUGCAGACCCCAGAGGGACGCCUGACCUCCCUCAGCUCUCGGCCCACAGCGGCCUGGUGAAGAGCCCCGUUGCCCCGAGUCCUCACUGCCUGCCACAGCCACAGCCUCCAGGAGGCCCGGCAUGGCAGCCUCAAGGGUGAAGUCACGGGGUCAGCUGGGCCGAGGGGCUCAGGCACCAGCCAGACCACACCCUGUGAACACGCAGACCCCGCAGGCCCCACAGGCCGAAGCCACUGAGGUCCCUCCCAGCCCCCACACGAGAGAGGACAGAGGUUUGCCAGGCCCUGACCGGGGUCCAACAUGCAGGAGUGAUGCUGUGGACAGGCACCUUGGAGACAACACAGGGACACCCAGGCUGGGCCCCAGGACCGAGGCAGGCACCCCAGAGUUACCAGCCCCCUGAUAACUGGAGACAGCUCCAGGUGACCUUCCUGGAAACGGGGCUGCUGCAGGUGUCACAGGGCUGCCCCCACCUCCAGGAGGAAGCGGGGCAGGGACACCGUGGGCAUCUGCACACCUGCAUCACAUGGCCGGCCACCAGGCAGCACUGGACUGGGCGCACUCGGGCGGACCCUGCCCUGCCCCUCCUCAGAGCCCCGGCCGCCCCAGGCCUGACUCGGGCCCUACUGAGGGCCCCGUCUGCUCGUAGCACCCAGCGAGCCACGAGGCCCUCACGCUUCAGGCUGGGCUGUGACCCUGCAGAGCUGACACUGACUCCUAACUGUCAGGUACGACUUCUGCCAACAGAGCCGGGAUGCAGCUCAGCGGCACUGCGCCUGCCUGGCGAGCACAAAGUACUGAGUUCCAUCCCCGGUGCCACAAAAAAGGCUUAUCAACAGGUGCUUGUGGUUUGUUGACUUUUAAUACAAGUUUGAAGUGGAGUCCUCAUAAAUCAGCUCAGCCAGAUGGGAAACCACGGUAAAGCCUUUAAGAGCGCAGAGCGAAAGCUCAGGCUCCCCGUGUCCGGGCCCUCACGCUGAGCUGCGUCCCAGCCCGUUCUUUAGUUUUAUUUUGAGACAGGCUGUGGCUCCAGCUUGCCACCCUCCUGCCUCAGCCCACCAGAGUGCUGGGAUUACCUUCGUCCUCACCAAAAAGAGGCAGCUGGCGGUGAGGGCGGUGCAGACCCCUGAGCUGCGUGGGCGCUGAGGACACCUCUGGCCACCACCUGAGCACCACACUCGGUGCCUUGUGCGCCCGGCUGCUGCUUUCUGUUCGUGUCCUCUGUGGGGUUGUGGGGCAGAAGCCCAGGUGCUUGGUGCCGCCAGGGGCGUGGACAGCUUCAGGGGGCAGCUGCUUUCUUCUCUCUGCAGUGGCGAGAGCAGCGGGCGGCACAGGGGCAGCGCACGGGUCCGGCAGCCCAAGUUUCCUUGCCCUCUCGCCUGCACCC